Long non-coding RNA from Gymnodraco acuticeps, 507 nucleotides. RefSeq lists it as uncharacterized. The record is from RefSeq and is a predicted model, not a curated record. Lineage: Eukaryota; Metazoa; Chordata; Actinopteri; Perciformes; Bathydraconidae. The transcript has 2 exons.
GCAGCCGCAUGGCAGAGCUGCACGCCGGGAGAGAGAAGCUGGAAUAAAGCUGUCAGGGUGUCAGCAACACAAACCGAUAACACUGUCACUGCGGAGCCACACAGCAGAACACCGACUCACUGCAGGACUUCACCCCGAGUAAACUCACCUUUGAGACGGUCAUAUGGUGGGGAGGCGUCGGCAGGUGGCGGAGGAUUCCCUGGAGGAGCCGAACAAGAAACCUCAACAACAAACUGAUACACUCUCUGAACAUUGGAAUUGCCCCAGGGUUUUUAAUUUCUAGGAAAUGGUAUUCACAACCUUAUCUGACCUACUUGAUAUUAAAGUGCCACAUUGUCCAAAGCUGCUCUUGUUGAAUGAAACCCCCUUUAAAGAUGACAGUAUCACAAAUGCUAAAUGUGAAACAACCAUUGGCGCCUUGGACUCCACCAGGUCAGAGUCCCUGUUUUAACAUUGUAACGCAAAUCAUAUACAAAUAAAACCAAACAGUUUAUCUUCGCAUGUCAA